GCAUCGAUAGCUCAGUGGCAGAGCGGUGGGGCGUUUACCCAUGCGGCCCGGGUUCGAUUCCCGGUGGAUGUA
This is a non-coding RNA of Phthorimaea operculella (potato tuberworm), 72 nucleotides long. The record is from the annotation of a GenBank genome assembly. Lineage: Eukaryota; Metazoa; Arthropoda; Insecta; Lepidoptera; Gelechiidae.